UUCGACACACUAUCAUUAACUGAAUCCAUAGGUUAAUGAGGCGAACCGGGGGAACUGAAACAUCUAAGUACCCCGAGGAAAAGAAAUCAACCGAGAUUCCCCCAGUAGCGGCGAGCGAACGGGGAGGAGCCCAGAGCCUGAAUCAGUGUGUGUGUUAGUGGAAGCGUCUGGAAAGGCGCGCGAUACAGGGUGACAGCCCCGUACACAAAAAUGCACAUAUUGUGAGCUCGAUGAGUAGGGCGGGACACGUGGUAUCCUGUCUGAAUAUGGGGGGACCAUCCUCCAAGGCUAAAUACUCCUGACUGACCGAUAGUGAACCAGUACCGUGAGGGAAAGGCGAAAAGAACCCCGGCGAGGGGAGUGAAAAAGAACCUGAAACCGUGUACGUACAAGCAGUGGGAGCCUCUUAAUGGGGUGACUGCGUACCUUUUGUAUAAUGGGUCAGCGACUUAUAUUCUGUAGCAAGGUUAACCGAAUAGGGGAGCCGAAGGGAAACCGAGUCUUAACUGGGCGUUAAGUUGCAGGGUAUAGACCCGAAACCCGGUGAUCUAGCCAUGGGCAGGUUGAAGGUUGGGUAACACUAACUGGAGGACCGAACCGACUAAUGUUGAAAAAUUAGCGGAUGACUUGUGGCUGGGGGUGAAAGGCCAAUCAAACCGGGAGAUAGCUGGUUCUCCCCGAAAGCUAUUUAGGUAGCGCCUCGUGAAUUCAUCUCCGGGGGUAGAGCACUGUUUCGGCAAGGGGGUCAUCCCGACUUACCAACCCGAUGCAAACUGCGAAUACCGGAGAAUGUUAUCACGGGAGACACACGGCGGGUGCUAACGUCCGUCGUGAAGAGGGAAACAACCCAGACCGCCAGCUAAGGUCCCAAAGUCAUGGUUAAGUGGGAAACGAUGUGGGAAGGCCCAGACAGCCAGGAUGUUGGCUUAGAAGCAGCCAUCAUUUAAAGAAAGCGUAAUAGCUCACUGGUCGAGUCGGCCUGCGCGGAAGAUGUAACGGGGCUAAACCAUGCACCGAAGCUGCGGCAGCGACACUAUGUGUU
Molecule: ribosomal RNA, 1042 nt
Filed under: Escherichia coli
Lineage: Bacteria; Pseudomonadati; Pseudomonadota; Gammaproteobacteria; Enterobacterales; Enterobacteriaceae
Description: partial 23S ribosomal RNA
Rfam family: Bacterial large subunit ribosomal RNA
Source: RNAcentral